CACUACCAAUUCGUGUUAUGGACCUAUUGAGAACGUCCCUUCUUGCGAAAAUAUUAAACACGGAUACUGCGUUUACGAUAUUCAAUUAGGGUGUACGCUACAUCUGUUGCUACUGGUGUCCGGAGUAAUCGGAGCGACAACAAGCUUUGUUUUAUCUACCCUGGCGUGCAGUCGGCCAAAUAGAGAAACUGCAGGAAUCCGCCCGCGAUUGUCAUCUAUCUUUGUGGUGGGUGGUGACAACUUGCCAACAGGCGGAAGACCGAUAACGGCUUGGGAAUUCCCGCCUCCAACAAAAUACACUGAGCUUGCCAAUACACCAGGGAUUGAAGAACAAUAUCCAAACGAACCAACACCACCGUAUGUAGAACAAGAUAAUGCCGAUCUACAGUGUCACCUGUAAGGAGGUUCAUUAUUUGGACUGUGCUCCGCCAAAUCAACACAAGUCUAGGUCAACUUUGAUUUGUCUCUAUAGUCCUACUUACACUCGUACAUUAAAGACCAUUUGACCAUGUAUAGUUACCGUGCUGUUAAAAAUUAAAAGAUGUCAAACCUUUAAAUCACCCUCACAAUAUAAAUAUACCAUCGAAAAUUCCAAUG
Daphnia pulicaria is the source of this 597-nucleotide long non-coding RNA. RefSeq lists it as uncharacterized. The record is from RefSeq and is a predicted model, not a curated record. Lineage: Eukaryota; Metazoa; Arthropoda; Branchiopoda; Diplostraca; Daphniidae. The transcript is spliced from 4 exons.